RNAcentral lists this non-coding RNA (53 nucleotides) under unclassified sequences. RNAcentral describes it as "Mu-gpT-DE RNA". It matches the Rfam family "Mu-gpT-DE RNA". The record is from RNAcentral.
CCCUGACAGUGCGCAUUGUGCCGCUGACUUAACCCAGACAGGAGAUCGCCAUG